AUUGAACGCUGGCGGAAUGCUUUACACAUGCAAGUCGAACGGUAGAGGGGGCAACCCCUCGAGAGUGGCGAACGGGUGAGUAAUAUAUCGGAACGUGCCCAGUCGUGGGGAUAACGUAGCGAAAGUUACGCUAAUACCGCAUACGAUCUAAGGAUGAAAGCGGGGGAUCGCAAGACCUCGCGCGAUUGGAGCGGCCGAUAUCAGAUUAGGUAGUUGGUGGGGUAAAGGCUCACCGAGCCAACGAUCUGUAGCUGGUCUGAGAGGACGACCAGCCACACUGGAACUGAGACACGGUCCAGACUCCUACGGGAGGCAGCAGUGGGGAAUUUUGGACAAUGGACGCAAGUCUGAUCCAGCCAUUCCGCGUGCAGGAUGAAGGCCCUCGGGUUGUAAACUGCUUUUGUACGGAACGAAAAGGUCUCUCUUAAUACGGGGGGCUCAUGACGGUACCGUAAGAAUAAGCACCGGCUAACUACGUGCCAGCCGCCGCAGUAA
RNAcentral lists this ribosomal RNA (495 nucleotides) under uncultured bacterium. RNAcentral's name for it is "partial 16S ribosomal RNA". It matches the Rfam family "Bacterial small subunit ribosomal RNA", at positions 30 to 523 of the family's 1533-position model. The record is from RNAcentral.